RNAcentral lists this ribosomal RNA (253 nucleotides) under uncultured bacterium. RNAcentral's name for it is "partial 16S ribosomal RNA". It matches the Rfam family "Bacterial small subunit ribosomal RNA", at positions 524 to 776 of the family's 1533-position model. The record is from RNAcentral.
UACGGAGGGGGCAAGCGUUGUUCGGAUUUACUGGGCGUAAAGGGUGUGUAGGCGGUUAUGUAAGUCUGGUGUGAAAUCCCUCGGCUUAACCGGGGAACUGCGUCUGAUACUGGAUGGCUUGAGUUCGGGAGAGGGAUGCGGAAUUCCAGGUGUAGCGGUGAAAUGCGUAGAUAUCUGGAGGAACACCGGUGGCGAAGGCGGCAUCCUGGACCGAUACUGACGCUGAGGAGCGAAAGCCAGGGGAGCAAACGGG